This 465-nucleotide ribosomal RNA is filed under the name uncultured bacterium. Its description in RNAcentral is "partial 16S ribosomal RNA". It matches the Rfam family "Bacterial small subunit ribosomal RNA", at positions 28 to 507 of the family's 1533-position model. The record is from RNAcentral.
GACGAACGCUGGCGGCGUGCUUAACACAUGCAAGUCGAACGGAAAGGCCCUGCUUGCAGGGUACUCGAGUGGCGAACGGGUGAGUAACACGUGGGUGAUCUGCCCUGCACUUCGGGAUAAGCCUGGGAAACUGGGUCUAAUACCGGAUAGGAGCCAUUUUUAGUGUGAUGGUUGGAAAGUUUUUUCGGUGUAGGAUGAGCUCGCGGCCUAUCAGCUUGUUGGUGGGGUAAUGGCCUACCAAGGCGGCGACGGGUAGCCGGCCUGGGAGGGUGGACGGCCACAGUGGGACUGAGACACGGACAAGACGCCGACGGGAGGCAGCGGUGGGGAAGAUUGCAAAAGGGGCGCAAGCCUGAUGCAGCGACGCCGCGUGGGGGAUGACGGUCUUGGGGUUGGAAACGCCUUUCGCUAGGGACGAAGCUUUUUGUGACGGUACCUAGAUAAGAAGCACCGGCUAACUACGUG